Molecule: ribosomal RNA, 29 nt
Filed under: Saccharum robustum
Lineage: Eukaryota; Viridiplantae; Streptophyta; Magnoliopsida; Poales; Poaceae
Also listed under: 1 other name
Source: RNAcentral
UUUGGGAAGUCCUUGUGUUGCAUUCCCUU